GACGAACGCUGGCGGCGCGCCUAACACAUGCAAGUCGAACGAGCGAGAGAGAGCUUGCUUUCUCAAGCGAGUGGCGAACGGGUGAGUAACGCGUGAGGAACCUGCCUCAAAGAGGGGGACAACAGUUGGAAACGACUGCUAAUACCGCAUAAGCCCACGACCCGGCAUCGGGUAGAGGGAAAAGGGGCAAUCCGCUUUGAGAUGGCCUCGCGUCCGAUUAGCUAGUUGGUGAGGUAACGGCCCACCAAGGCGACGAUCGGUAGCCGGACUGAGAGGUUGAACGGCCACAUUGGGACUGAGACACGGCCCAGACUCCUACGGGAGGCAGCAGUGGGGAAUAUUGCACAAUGGGGGAAACCCUGAUGCAGCGACGCCGCGUGGAGGAAGAAGGUCUUCGGAUUGUAAACUCCUGUUGUUGAGGAAGAUAAUGACGGUACUCAACAAGGAAGUGACGGCUAACUACGUG
RNAcentral lists this ribosomal RNA (466 nucleotides) under uncultured bacterium. RNAcentral describes it as "partial 16S ribosomal RNA". It matches the Rfam family "Bacterial small subunit ribosomal RNA", at positions 28 to 507 of the family's 1533-position model. The record is from RNAcentral.